Molecule: ribosomal RNA, 496 nt
Filed under: uncultured bacterium
Lineage: Bacteria
Description: bacterial SSU rRNA
Rfam family: Bacterial small subunit ribosomal RNA
Source: RNAcentral
AACGAACGCUGGCGGCGCGCCUAAUACAUGCAAGUCGAACGAGAAGCUGUAGCAAUACAGUUGUACAGUGGCGAACGGGUGAGGAAUACAUGGGUGACCUACCCUCGAGUGGGGAAUAACCAGCCGAAAGGUUGGCUAAUACCGCGUACGCUUCCCAGUCUACGGGUUGGGAAGGAAAGCGAUGCCGUGGGUAUCGCGCUCAAGGUUGGGCUCAUGUCCUAUCAGCUUGUGGUGGGGUAACGGCUCACCAAGGCAACGACGGGUAGCUGGUCUGAGAGGACGAUCAGCCACACUGGCACUGCGACACGGGCCAGACUCCUACGGGAGGCAGCAGUAAGGAAUAUUGCGCAAUGGGCGAAAGCCUGACGCAGCGACGCCGCGUGGGGGAUGAAGGUCUUCGGAUUGUAAACCCCUUUCGGGAGGGAAGAUGGAACGAGCAAUCGUUCGGACGGUACCUCCAGAAGCAGCCACGGCUAACUUCGUGCCAGCAGCCGCA